RNAcentral lists this ribosomal RNA (120 nucleotides) under Eutrema salsugineum. Lineage: Eukaryota; Viridiplantae; Streptophyta; Magnoliopsida; Brassicales; Brassicaceae. The record is from RNAcentral.
GGGUGUUAUCAUCCGAGCAAUAAUGCCCCGAAUCACAUCAGAACCUCGCAGUUAAACGUGCUUGGGCGAGAGUAGUACUGAGAGGGGUGCCCUCCACGGGAUGCCCUCGUGUUGCACCUG